RNAcentral lists this ribosomal RNA (467 nucleotides) under uncultured bacterium. RNAcentral's name for it is "bacterial SSU rRNA". It matches the Rfam family "Bacterial small subunit ribosomal RNA", at positions 355 to 825 of the family's 1533-position model. The record is from RNAcentral.
UGGGGAAUAUUGGUCAAUGGACGCAAGUCUGAACCAGCCAUGCCGCGUGGAGGAUGAAGGUCCUCUGGAUUGUAAACUUCUUUUAUAUGGGACGAAAAAGGGUCUUUCUAGAUCAACUGACGGUACCAUAUGAAUAAGCACCGGCUAACUCCGUGCCAGCAGCCGCGGUAAUACGGAGGGUGCAAGCGUUAUCCGGAUUCACUGGGUUUAAAGGGUGCGUAGGUGGGUUGGUAAGUCAGUGGUGAAAUCCCCGAGCUUAACUUGGGAACUGCCAUUGAUACUAUUAAUCUUGAAUACUGUGGAGGUCAGCGGAAUAUGUCAUGUAGCGGUGAAAUGCUUAGAUAUGACAUAGAACACCAAUUGCGAAGGCAGCUGGCUACACAAAUAUUGACACUGAGGCACGAAAGCGUGGGGAUCAAACAGGAUUAGAUACCCAUGUAGUCCCUGAGCGGGCUGGCAAGGCGCAU